Molecule: long non-coding RNA, 559 nt
Organism: Homo sapiens (human)
Lineage: Eukaryota; Metazoa; Chordata; Mammalia; Primates; Hominidae
Source: Ensembl
GCUUCUGUGUUUGUGUCUUCAAAACAGCUGCUAUCACCAAUAAUUAAACCAUAAAAAACCGAAAUUAUUUUUCCCUCUGGGGUGAUUACAACCACACGGGAGCUGUGAUGAGAGUCACAGGGGUUCCAUCUCCAAAGUGACCUUAAGAUCUGAGGUGACCACUGCAACUCCAAGCCAUCCUGGUUCACCAACUGCUAGAAACACCCAGAUUUUAACUUUCCAACUCACUUCUUCCAAGAAGCUCCCCCUGGUAUAUGGCCACCUCCUCUGAGACCACUUCAUCCCACUGUCCAUUGUCAAGAGCAUGUCUUUCACUCAGAGAAUCAAAACUUUUGUUGAAGACAGACCUUACACCAUCUGGCCUAAUGAUUUGCAACUUGUUUUUCAGAGCCCUUUCUGCAAGUAAAAACAUAUGUGAAACCCCAACAUGAUGGAUAAAAUGAAUAAAAUGUAGAAUGGGAUGGGGCAGAGGAGCCCCAAGUCACUUCAGAACAUAGUUAGAAAAGAUAAUAUCUUGCCCUCAUUUUAUGAAUAAAGACAUUGCUGCCCAAAGAUAGAA